This is a long non-coding RNA of Grus americana (Whooping crane), 6237 nucleotides long. RefSeq lists it as uncharacterized. NCBI's taxonomy places the organism in Eukaryota, Metazoa, Chordata, Aves, Gruiformes, Gruidae. The record is from RefSeq and is a predicted model, not a curated record. The transcript has 8 exons.
GUGGCACAGAGCCGUGGCCAGGAGCUUUCGGGGGGCUUUUUUGUUACGGACUCUGGAAAAGUGCAAAGGGGAGGGGGAGGAGAAGCAACAGUCUUCCCAAAUUCCCCUUCAGUUGUUUAUUUAUGUACUUCCCGUGUCCAUGCAAAAAGGGUUCGUUUCGCAACUCCGGAGGUUUGGUGUUUUUUUUUUUUUUCCCUCUUUUUCCUUUUCUUUUCUUUUUUCUUUCUUUUAAACUUAUUUUUCUUUAUGUCCUGCGUUUGUCCGUCUCAUUCCGGGAGAUCGAACUGACCGAAACCAGAUACCCAGAGGCUUGUCCUCACUGACAGUCGGGGGAAUCCAAACAAAGAGGUGCAUCUACCGGAAAUAAUGAUUUGAGAGAUGUUUCUCUCCCUUUCCCCCCACCCCCCCCACCCCCUCCUCGCCUUGAAUUAAAUUAUUUUCUUUUUCUUUUCUUUUUUUUUUUUUUUUUUUUUUCCUGGGAGGUUCAGUUCGAGCGAAGUUUUGCGCCGGAGACGGGGUCGGGGCUGAGGAGGGAUGGAGAAGACGGAAAGUUGCGGUAGUGGGAGGAGGCGGGGGGCGAGGGCAGCGCGGGACCCCGGCUGCGCCCGGGCCGCGGGGGGAGCAGGGGCGCGGGGGACCUGCCGCCGCUGCCGGCUCUUUGUCUGCUCGGGCAACUUGAACAAAAGGAGAAACUCGGAUGAACUCUCCAUCUCUCCCUCUCCUCUCCCGGGUUAUCUCAUCUUCGACAACUUUAUCCGGAGAGAUUUACUCAACUUUCUUCGAGCUCUCCCGCCGCUUGAAAGCAGACAGCCCCGCUGUAGGCUCGUAAGGAAAUCUGGUUUCACAGUUUAAAGAAAGGAGAAGGUCAAAACACAGUCGUCGGGAAAAUGGGAUGGUUGCCAAAACGUUGGUCUGUGAUGGGUGCCAUGUUGCUUUAUUCUUUGAGUGGUGGAAUACAGCUUGGGAUUCUUCAGGGGUGGUUAACGUGGUACAAACUGUACCGUACAGCUGCUGAAGGUCUUAACUGUUUGGAUUCAUACAUAACUUAACGGGCUCCUGGAAGAAUUGGAAGAGCCUCUUGCCGAAACUUGAGGAUAUUGUGGAAAAUGCUGCUGAGACCCAUUUGGAUUAUAUUGCCAUCUGACAUCAAGGACCUGCAGCUGAUGAAAGGAGUUCACCAGAUCUUUUUGUUAUGUGGCUGCUGAAGCAUUAUCCUGAGACAGCAGUAAUGAUUGAUGAAUACGCUUCAGGCUUGAGUCAUAGAGCAGUGCGAGGAUUUACACUUCUGAAGUAAGUGUGAAUGGGAUUGAAGGAUUUACAUGGAGGAUUCUGAACUCCCCUCCUUCCUGCUCUAGGAAAGGCAGGGGCCUGCCCUGAGACCUGUGGGUAUGAUCCAUGCGUGCUACUGAAGCUGACUCGAAUGGUGUGACAAAUGUAAUGUCUUUAUCCUGCUAUGAGCAGCAGACAGAUCACUCUUUACCAGUUGUCAAGGCAAAUAUUGCUGUAUGGUCCUUGCUCUCAGCAACAUCCUCAGUGUUCUGGUGACGGGGUGCCUUGGAAGGGCCGCGCAGAACCAGCCUCACACGACCUCUGCACCUCAGGCGCUCUGUGCUGAGGUGAUGAACACAGACCUGUAUUUCACACAGGUUUUGCCACAGGAGCCUUUCCAGUCCUGUCCCUGCUCAAGCAGGGUCUGCCUGAGCAUCUCUGAACAGCCAGCCGGAGCAACCAGAAAGCUAGGCGGAUGCAGCACAGGAGCAACGAUGGCAGCACAAAGCUGCACCGUUCAGAAGAAGCGAGAUUGUCUUUCCUUACAGCUACGACGCUGCACCGCUCUCGACACAGCCUGCUUUUCCCCCCAUUUACCUGGGCGGCUGCUGCUGUUUCUGCUGCUGCUGGGGCUGCUGCAGUCUCGCUGCCUGUGCUUCACCCCGGCUUGGCUGACUCGAAACUCACUCGUCUGCACAUUGCUAAGGAAGAAGAGCGAUGGAGCCGCGUUUUUUCUGUUGGUUCUGGAAGCAAAGGGUUGCGAUGUGUGAUGAUUUUGGGGUUUUCUUUUGGAGGGGAGGGAGGAGAAAGGAAGGGUGUUAAUCUAGGAUGGGGUGGGUGAAAGCUUAAAGAAAUAUUAUGUAAAGUAAUCCAGUGCUCGACAAGGGCAUCAGCAGCAAGAAUCCAGCCUCUGCUGCUCCAGAGGAUUAACAUGGGGAAGCCACAGUGCUGCAGUCGGGUUUCACCUCAGCGUUGUGCUGGAGAUGGAUAAAUAAGGUAUCAGUUGUGUCUGCCUGUUAAGGCAAAGCCGUGGGAGAAGGAGAGAGCGAGCGAAUGCAAAGGAAGAAGAAAUGCUACGUGCUGUUUGUCUGAUUUGGUGCAUUCUCAUUGCAGAGAGGAUGGCGUGAUUAACAGAGCAACGUAUGGACGGAGGGACUGUAAAUUGUAGCUCGAACUCUCCUGAUGCUGUCAGGGAGGGAACUGAUGAGCGAGGUGGCUGCAGUGGUAUCCCCAGGGAAAACAGCAGCCAUGCACUCUAUGUGUGCGUGUGUAUGUAUGUAUGUGCUUUUGUGGGUGUGUUAGCAUGUAUAGACAUGAGAGAAAGACAUUUCUAACCAAUUUACAGAGGAAGUUUGUCACUUUGCUGGGUCAGACUUGAUUGCAGCUUGUAUUUUCAGCUAUAGCUCUACACCCAUUUCCUGACUGAGGCGGCACUUUGCGAAAACAGAUGUAGGCAGAAUUCUUUUAAGAAAUGUAAAAGCAGAUCCUUUCCGCUUGACACCUUGAAGCACUGAAUCUUCUGUACUGUGCUAAGAGAAACUGGGGGGGUUUCGUUCUCUCCGUCUUAAAAUCUUUAUAAACACAGCUGUAUUCAGUAUGGUGAAAAAUUCUAUACUGUAAAUAGAAAUGUGAUCAAUCUAAUCAAAAUAAAUGCAUCCCAGAUGACUUCUAGACCAGCUGACUACCACAGUCAUCAGAUGGCUAAAUGCUCAACUGAGCAUUUAUAUUCAGCGUUAUAUUUACAUCUUUUUUUCUUCUUUUAAAUUUCGAAAUCAGCCUCCAAUUAAAAGAGAUUCAUCUAUUGAAAAAAGCCAAUGCUCGCAUUUGGCAAUAGAUUUCUCUGAAAUGUACCUGGGUGUAUUUUUCUUAUUGCUGAACAUGCAUGGGGGAGACUAUGUUUUUAGAGCAGGUAGACUUGUCACAGUACAGGUAUAUUUAGUUUGGUAGGCAGCUCGGCUUGGCCAUGCCUGAACAAUGCAGAAAUAGGGGAAACAAGGGCUGCACUCAGCUAGCGGGGCUUGGCAUAGCUUCUAGCAGCUGCCUACUGAGAAAGAGGGGGGUUUUUUUUCCUUUUUUUUUUUUCCUUCUAUACAAAUCCGUAGAGCAUAAUGUCAUCCUAAAAUGUGUACGAGGGGAUUUCCCAAUAGUCAUGGUGAGCUACCCCGCAAGACUCCUGUCUGGCCCUUCCACUAUUUGUUACCCAGCCUACAAAGGCAGCCCUGUGUGUUGGAUUAUAUUUAGCCAGCUGUUGGAUAACAUUCUUGUGCUGGGGGCAAAGGAGUCUUAUUACUCUCAAACUGUAGUUUUCUGUUUGCUUAAAGAAAACUAACCUUGGCAAUAAAGCAGGCUCUGCAAAGGAGUUUAUGCCACUCCUAUACCUUUCUGAAACUGGGGUGUGCUUCUAAGUCAGGCAGUUUAAAGCAAGCAAGGAGGAGGAAGAGAGACUCUUAACUCACAGCUUCAAAGCUGCAGAGACGAGCAAAAUGUCAGCAGCUUGUAAUUAGGAGUCCACGGUUACGUCAGUGACUGUAUCUCUCCAAGAAUAGCUAUGUGAUGUGUGCCACAAAGCAAAGGAAGGCAGUCAUAACCUGGUUAUCAAGCCUGGUUCAAACAAGAAAGAGCAAAAUGGAUUAAUGAAUCUGCUGUGUUCCUAAAUCAGAUGUGGAUGGAUUACAUGUACGAGGCUUGCUGAAUUCUGCAGCAGUGAAGACUGAAUUUUCAGUUUGUCAGAAGGCACGCAUUCACCGAGUGAAAGCGUGAAUCCUUCAGAAAAAAAUGCAGAUGAACCGUCUAUUCUAGAAAUUGUCUUUCCCAGCUCCAUCCUGUGCAGCCAGCUGCGCGACACGGAGGCAUGCUCUGAAAGGAGAGACCCGCGAGCCGCACGGAGGUGUUUAAAAGGAAGGGUGUAAUUAAACACAAAGCAAGCCUGCUGAAAUUCUGUUCUGGCAUUACAGAUUUGAUACUGAAAUACCACCCCGGAGAAGACUGGCAGGGGUCUGGCAUGGUUAUAUUAAGGCUUCUCUGGUUAAGAGCGAGGGGGGAAGGGAAAGGGCUUCGCGCAGCAUCUUGCAGCCACGCAGAAGUCCCCAGGGCUGCGCGGGGAAGAGGGAUGCGCGCGGCUACGUGCUCUUAAAGGCACAUGCCCAGACCCUGCCAGGAGCUUUCCGACCUCUGCAAUUAUUUUUAGGUCUGUGCAGGCAACUCGGCAGUGUUUAAGCAGUGAGAUUGCAGGGGGUGCUUAAUCUGCUCCAACUGGCCUUUCUCCGCGUUGUGACUGGAAGAUGUUUACAGGGCUUUUAUCGGUACCCCUCCACAAUAUUCCGUGUGCGUGUCUGGCGGUGCUCACGCUGCCCAAUUGCUAGAAGCCUGGCGUGGUUCCCUGCUCCCAGCAGAAGUCGGUUGCAGUUCAGCUCUGUUUAUGUCGCUCUUUAAUUUACCAGGAUAGGUGGAUUGUAUUAUGCAAACAGUGGGGUGGGGUGGUUUGGUUUUUUUUUUGGACUGUGAACACAAAUUUGUAGGAGGAGAUGACUCUGUAUAUUAAACCAAUAGCUCUUUGAAUUGUGCGUAGUAUAAUUUAAAUAUACUUACUUCAAUUAAUAGAAGGUUACAAAAGCUGGCAUUGUCUGGGGCUGUUUAAUUUACAUCUUAGGCUUAGUCAAUGAGCAUAACCUGCCUGAUUAGAAUAGCGUAUUCUGCGCAGCCAACAGGGUGGAAGACAUCAUUUUGUUUGUGUUAGUUCAAACAGCUGGUCAUUAAUGCAGGCCCCAUCUCCAGAGUGAAGUGCUAGUGGACAUGAAUGGCUGCCUGAUUAAUGCUGCCCCUCGACGGGUCCUUCAUCCAGCAGCGAUGCUUGCAGCAGAAUAAUGCAGCGUGAUUUGAUUGCGCUCUAACAGGGUAGUAUGUCAUUGUGUCACCGAGCAAUCGAGGUUAUUAUGGGGCAGGGCAGACAGACGGGACAGUGGGGUUACUAGACCGUGGCAUUUUUAGAAAUGCAGGCCUGACCUACUUAGAGUUAUUCUUGCUGGCUGGCAGCUGCCUGGUGCAGGGCUCCCCGUGAUAGGCUGCGGCUGUUGCUAGGGGGAAUUAGCAUGAAUUUUUCCACAUACAGGCUCUGUGAUUGAAUGAUAAAAGCUGACUGGAAUUAAAGAGAUUCAGUUCAGUAUUAUGCAGAUUUAUCUCCCUCUUCCUCCCCCCCCCCCCCAAAUGCAUAAAAAGGAGCAGAAGACAGUUUGUUUCCAUUUAUUUUUGACCUAUUUUUUUUUCCAGGGGAGGGCAGAAGUGUUGUGAAUUUUUGAUCAUCAUUUACUAUUUAAGCCGUUGAAAUGAUAUGACAGUGGGCAUGCAUCUUUAAUGUAUGGGAGAUUCAAAUGCUGUUUCUUUGGAAGGCAAUGAAAUGAAUAUAUUUUGUGUUCUGGUCACACUGCCGCCUCUUUCUAUUUGAAGCUAUGUCGGAUUCCCUCGUCUGGAAAGGGGAAACAUAUACCAGGUUUUAUUGCAUAACAUUACUCUUGGCUAUUUUUAGAUAUCUGUACUUCACAAAAUUAGUCCUAUGUUUAUGUUGGUGGAUGAAAUUAAUCCCCGGACUAUGUCUCCUAUAUGCAGAGACAGACGCCCAGGGCAUGCUGCAGUGUUGUGUGUCAUGUUCAUCUGAAAAGGCGUUUACAUCCUGCAGAUGUAUCAGCACUGCAUACCUAGCAGAGGACUGAUGCCUGGCCUGUAAUCAGAUCAACUGGAGAACCUCUUCUGGAUUUUGGAGUAUUUUUCAGGCUUGGGUUUGAAGUUGGAUUCUCUAGAUGGCCCUUUUUUAUUUAUCUACAUCUGCCUAAAAUAGUGUUAUCUUUUCAGAGAACUCUAAGCUCCCUCAGGAAGCAAAUAAAAACAAUACUCAGUGAAGAAUCCUUUGAUGUAAUUAUGAAUAUUUCCUUUGUUAUUAUCACUAAUUAUAGAAGAUCUUUGUUUAAACCGCAA